Brienomyrus brachyistius is the source of this 1422-nucleotide long non-coding RNA. RefSeq lists it as uncharacterized. The transcript has 2 exons. The record is from RefSeq and is a predicted model, not a curated record. NCBI's taxonomy places the organism in Eukaryota, Metazoa, Chordata, Actinopteri, Osteoglossiformes, Mormyridae.
CUGUCCGACAUCCCACCGCGAUCCCUGCACCUGCCUGGCACAUGUUUAGGAAGAGGUAGCCGGAUAAGGCAACCAAGCCUCCGGAACUUAAAGUCUGUCCGCUGUCCAGCUACUGCAAAAAUACAAGCAGCACACCCAGCUUUCAGGUCUCUGUAGCUCUAAACAUCGUUUCUCCAUAACUACCCAUCAGAAACAAAAGAAACAAAAAAAACAACGAUUGUGUUAACGAGAAUUGAACUGUCUACCAACUUCCAAGAUCACUUUUUAAUUCAAGAGCAUUUCAAGCACUUCUCAGAAAGUUACAGCGAUGAAUAAUCUGGAUCUCAGAAACAAUAUGAAGAUGAGAAAAACAGCAGGAGUCCAAGUGUAAGGUCUGGUCUGCAGAUAUCAAGGUCAGAAUCAAUGAUCAUUUAUUUGCCUAAUUAAUUCCGUGUUUUUGCCUGUUCCUAGCGAAAUCUAGUUACUUUGUACUAUUAAAAUAUGCCAAAUUUCCUGGCAGCAAAUUAAACAUAGAUGGCAUUGAAUGACAAGGUGCUUCAGUUCCUGAAAUGGACAGAUUUCACUAGUACAAAGCGAUGAACUCCAUACUACAUUGCCUUUGUUUUUUUUCUUGCUUCAAUGCACUUUUUUAAUGACUUGGACCCACAUCGCAAGUUUUUCUCUUUUCAAACACAGGUAUAUGUACUCCGGAAAGAGAUUUUUACAUUUUUUCCACAAAACAAGUGAGGUUUUAUUCUGUGUUCACAGUAACCCUUGAUAAUUAAUUAGACAAGUGUAAUCUCAUUUAUUCCUCCUUUAGAAUCAUUUCAAAGUAUCAAGAAUACUCUCCAGGGAUAUUUAAUCAAUAUUCAAAAGUCAUCUAGAUUUUAGAGAGAAACUGUCCCCUUUAUUACUUUUUUUGUUUUUUUACAAAAUCAGAAUUAACAAUGUUUAAGGUGUGGUUAGAAACAAUGCAAAAAGCCGAUCUUUGGACAAUGUACUAUUAAGAAUAACCUGGAUAUUCCCUGAAACCUUCAAGCAAGCCAAUGAUCUGUGCAAAGCUAUAUCUACAAACCUGUGGUCAGAUAGUGUUUUUUUUUCUUUUUUCAAUGUCCAUCCUGACCACCUUAACAUGAGGAGGCCAAUACAUAGUGGAGUUAACACAGAAACCAAACAUGGUAUUAUUUAUGGUUUAGUAGUAAACUAGAUUUAAAAUUGAUAUGUACACAUCUCCAAUAGAUACUCUUUUUACCCAGUUUAGUACAACGUAUUUAGUUAAGAAUUCUGGGAGAUUUUAAACAUUGAACUGAACAACGAAAAGUUCCUGCUUAACUGAUGUAUUAGCCAUGUAAGGGUUAUGAGUACAUUAUACUAAUUGUAUUUUGUGAAAUUCUUGAAAUUGGGAAGUGAUCAAUAAAGAAUGAACUUGAUUUGAUUUUAAAA